GCAGGUUGAAGCGCGGGUAAGACCGCGUGGAGGACCGAACCCACCUGGGUUGAAAACCGGGGGGAUGACUUGGGGCUAGGGGUGAAAGGCCAAUCAAAUUCCGUGAUAGCUGGUUCUCUCCGAAAUGCAUUUGGGUGCAGCGUCGGGUCAUUACGUCCCGGGGGUAGAGCUACUGGAUGCUUGCGGGCCCGUAUCGGGUACCAACAGCAACCAAACUCCGAAUACCGGUGACGCGUAUCCCGGCAGUGAGUCGGCGGGGGAUAAGCUUCGUCGUCGAAAGGGAAACAGCCCAGACCGUCGUCUAAGGUCCCGAAGCGUGUGCUAAGUGGGAAAGGAUGUGGAGUCGCAUAGACAGCCAGGAGGUUGGCUCAGAAGCAGCCACCCUUGAAAGAGUGCGUAACAGCUCACUGGUCUAGUGGUUCCGCGCCGACAAUGUAGCGGGGCUCAAGCACACCACCGAAGACGCGGCAGUAUUUUGUACUGGGUAGGAGAGCGUCCCAUGAGGGGCGAAGCGGCCGUGUGAACGCGCCGUGGACUUCAUGGGAGUGAGAAUGCAGACAUGAGUAGCGAGAGACGGGUGAAGAUCCCGUCCGCUGGAUGACCAAGGGUUCCAGGGCCACGUUCAUCGUCCCUGGGUGAGUCGGGUCCUAAGGCGAGGCCGACAGGCGUAGUCGAAUGGAUGAACGGGUCGAUAUUCCCGUACCGGCUUUCAGCCGCCAAAACCGAGGCUUGGAGUACUAACCUCCGGGUCCGGGCUUACUGCUCCUUCGGGGGCGGGAUGCCCUGGCCUGUUGGGACCGAUCCUUGUAGUAGGUCAGCGCAGGAGUGACGCAGAAGGGUAGCCGGCCGCGGAGGUGGUCUUCCGUGGUCAAGCACGCAGGGCGUGGGACAGGCAAAUCCGUCCCGCAUGGGUCCGAGGUGCGAUGAUGGGGGCCUUAUGGCCCGAUAUCCGGUGAUCCCGGCUGCCGAGAAAAGCUUCGGCGUCAGGCUCGAAGCCGCCCGUACCCCAAACCGACACUGGUGGUCAGGUAGAGAAUACCAAAGCGAUCGAGCGAAUCCUGGUCAAGGAACUCGGCAAAUCACUCCCGUUCCUUCGGUUUAAGGGAGACCCCCGAUGGUGAACACGCUUGCUGUGGGAGCUUUUGGGGGUGGCACAGACCAGGGGGUAGCGACUGUUUACCAAAAACACAGGUGCAUGCGAAGGCGCAAGCCGCUGUAUAUGCACUGACGCCUGCCCGGUGCCGGAAGGUUAAGAGGAUCCGUCAGCCUUCGGGUGAAGCGGUGAAUUCAAGCCCCGGUAAACGGCGGUGGUAACUAUAACCAUCCUAAGGUAGCGAAAUUCCUUGUCGGGUAAGUUCCGACCUGCACGAAUGGCGUAACGACUUCCCCACUGUCUCGACCAGGAGCUCGGCGAAAUUGCAGUACGAGUAAAGAUGCUCGUUAAGCGCAGAAGGACGAAAAGACCCCGGGACCUUUACUAUACCUUGGUAUUGGCAUUCGGUGUGGAUUGUGUAGCAUAGGCGGGAGGCCGAGAGGCGCGGUCGCCAGAUCGCGCGGAGCCGUAAGGUGAAAUACCGCUCUGUUCGCAUUGGAUGUCUAACCUCGAACAGUCAUCCUGUUCAGGGACAGUGCCUGGCGGGUAGUUUAACUGGGGCGGUUGCCUCCCAAAGAGUAACGGAGGCGCCCAAAGGUCCGCUCAGCCCGGUUGGCAAUCGGGUGGCGAGUGCAAGUGCACAAGCGGGCUUGACUGCGAGGACGACGGUCCGAGCAGGGACGAAAGUCGGGACUAGUGAUCCGGUGCCGGUGUACGGACGCGGCAUCGCUCAACGGAUAAAAGGUACCCCGGGGAUAACAGGCUGAUCAUUCCCAAGAGUCCAUAUCGACGGGAUGGUUUGGCACCUCGAUGUCGGCUCGUCGCAUCCUGGGGCUGGAGCAGGUCCCAAGGGUUCGGCUGUUCGCCGAUUAAAGCGGCACGCGAGCUGGGUUCAGAACGUCGUGAGACAGUUUGGUCUCUAUCCUCUGCGCUCGUUGGAAUGCUGAGGAGGCCUGCCCAUAGUACGAGAGGACCUGGGUGGACGAACCUCUGGUAUGCCGGUUGUCACGCCAGUGGCACGGCCGGUUGGCUACGUUCGGAAGGGAUAACCGCUGAAAGCAUCUAAGCGGGAAGCCUGCUCCAAGAUAAGCAUUCCGUGGAACCUUCGAGUUCCUGUAGUCCCCAUGCAGAACACGUGGUCGAUAGGCCGGACGUGGAAGCCCCGCGAGGGGUGGAGCCGACCGGUACUAACGGACGAAAGGCAACACUGA
This 2304-nucleotide ribosomal RNA is filed under the name human gut metagenome. Its description in RNAcentral is "bacterial LSU rRNA". It matches the Rfam family "Bacterial large subunit ribosomal RNA", at positions 740 to 2925 of the family's 2925-position model. The record is from RNAcentral.